CCUACGGGAGGCAGCAGUGGGGAAUAUUGCGCAAUGGGGGCAACCCUGACGCAGCGACGCCGCGUGAGCGAUGACGGCCUUCGGGUUGUAAAGCUCUGUCAAGGGGGAAGAUAAUGACGGUACCCCUGGAGGAAGCCCCGGCUAACUACGUGCCAGCAGCCGCGGUAAAACGUAGGGGGCGAGCGUUGUCCGGAAUUACUGGGCGUAAAGGGCGUGUAGGCGGUUAAGAAAGUCAGCUGUGAAAACCCAGGGCUUAACCCUGGACCUGCAGUUGAAACUUCUUAACUUGAGUGCAGGAGAGGAGAGUGGAAUUCCCGGUGUAGCGGUGACAUGCGUAGAUAUCGGGAGGAACACCAGUGGCGAAGGCGACUCUCUGGCCUGUAACUGACGCUGAGGCGCGAAAGCGUGGGGAGCGAACAGGAUUAGAUACCCUGGUAGUCCACGCCGUAAACGAUGGGUACUAGGUGUAGGGGGUUUAGAUACCUUCUGUGCCGCAGUUAACACAUUAA
RNAcentral lists this ribosomal RNA (509 nucleotides) under Candidatus Contubernalis sp. enrichment culture. Its description in RNAcentral is "bacterial SSU rRNA". It matches the Rfam family "Bacterial small subunit ribosomal RNA", at positions 338 to 863 of the family's 1533-position model. The record is from RNAcentral. Lineage: Bacteria; Bacillati; Bacillota; Dethiobacteria; Dethiobacterales; Dethiobacteraceae.